UGAGGAAUCUUGCGCAAUGGGGGAAACCCUGACGCAGCAACGCCGCGUGAGUGAGGAAGGUCUUCGGAUCGUAAAGCUCUGUCGGGUGGAAAGAAAUGUAUGGGGUUAAUAGCCUUCAUACUUGACGGUACCACCAAAGGAAGCACCGGCUAACUCCGUGCCAGCAGCCGCGGUAAUACGGGGGGUGCAAGCGUUGUUCGGAAUUAUUGGGCGUAAAGAGCGUGUAGGCGGCUUGGCAAGUCAGAUGUGAAAGCCCUGGGCUUAACCCAGGAAGUGCAUUUGAAACUGCUUAGCUAGAGUAGGGGAGAGGGAAGUGGAAUUCCUGGUGUAGAGGUGAAAUUCGUAGAUAUCAGGAGGAACACCGGUGGCGAAGGCGACUUCCUGGCCCUAUACUGACGCUGAGACGCGAGAGCGUGGG
This 418-nucleotide ribosomal RNA is filed under the name uncultured bacterium. RNAcentral describes it as "bacterial SSU rRNA". It matches the Rfam family "Bacterial small subunit ribosomal RNA", at positions 355 to 765 of the family's 1533-position model. The record is from RNAcentral.